ACCAGACUCCUACGGGAGGCAGCAGUGGGGAAUAUUGCACAAUGGGGGAAACCCUGAUGCAGCGACGCCGCGUGGGUGAAGGAGUAUUUCGGUAUGUAAAGCCCUAUCAGCAGGGAAGAUAAUGACGGUACCUGACUAAGAAGCCCCGGCUAACUACGUGCCAGCAGCCGCGGUAAUACGUGGGGGGCAAGCGUUAUCCGGAUUUACUGGGUGUAAAGGGAGCGUAGACGGCAGCGCAAGCCUGGAGUGAAAGGAUGGGGCCCAACCCCAUGACUGCUCUGGGAACUGUGCGGCUAGAGUGCAGGAGAGGUAAGUGGAAUUCCUAGUGUAGCGGUGAAAUGCGUAGAUAUUAGGAGGAACACCAGUGGCGAAGGCGGCUUACUGGACUGUAACUGACGUUGAGGCUCGAAAGCGUGGGGAGCAAACAGGAUUAGAUACCCCCGUACU
RNAcentral lists this ribosomal RNA (447 nucleotides) under uncultured bacterium. RNAcentral's name for it is "bacterial SSU rRNA". It matches the Rfam family "Bacterial small subunit ribosomal RNA", at positions 330 to 794 of the family's 1533-position model. The record is from RNAcentral.